UACGGGAGGCAGCGGUGGGGAAUAUUGCACAAUGGGCGCAAGCCUGAUGCAGCCAUGCCGCGUGUAUGAAGAAGGCCUUCGGGUUGUAAAGUACUUUCAGUCGUGAGGAAGGUGUUAAGGUUAAUAACCUUAGCAAUUGACGUUAGCGACAGAAGAAGCACCGGCUAACUCCGUGCCAGCAGCCGCGGUAAUACGGAGGGUGCGAGCGUUAAUCGGAAUUACUGGGCGUAAAGGGCACGCAGGCGGUUAAUUAAGUUGGAUGUGAAAUCCCCGGGCUUAACCUGGGAAUGGCAUUCAAGACUGGUUAGCUAGAGUCUUGUAGAGGGGGUAGAAUUCCAUGUGUAGCGGUGAAAUGCGUAGAGAUGUGGAGGAAUACCGGUGGCGAAGGCGGCCCCUGGACAAAGACUGACGCUCAUGUGCGAAAGCUGGGGAGCAAACAGGGAUUAGAUACC
RNAcentral lists this ribosomal RNA (452 nucleotides) under uncultured bacterium. RNAcentral describes it as "bacterial SSU rRNA". It matches the Rfam family "Bacterial small subunit ribosomal RNA", at positions 340 to 786 of the family's 1533-position model. The record is from RNAcentral.